This 72-nucleotide transfer RNA is filed under the name Streptomyces mashuensis. RNAcentral's name for it is "tRNA-Cys". It matches the Rfam family "tRNA". Rfam says of the family: Transfer RNA (tRNA) molecules are approximately 80 nucleotides in length. Their secondary structure includes four short double-helical elements and three loops (D, anti-codon, and T loops). Further hydrogen bonds mediate the characteristic L-shaped molecular structure. tRNAs have two regions of fundamental functional importance: the anti-codon, which is responsible for specific mRNA codon recognition, and the 3' end, to which the tRNAs corresponding amino acid is attached (by aminoacyl-tRNA synthetases). tRNAs cope with the degeneracy of the genetic code in two manners: having more than one tRNA (with a specific anti-codon) for a particular amino acid; and 'wobble' base-pairing, i.e. permitting non-standard base-pairing at the 3rd anti-codon position. The record is from RNAcentral. Lineage: Bacteria; Bacillati; Actinomycetota; Actinomycetes; Kitasatosporales; Streptomycetaceae.
GGAGUCGCAGUGUCAGGCGUGCACUCCGCCCCGCAAGGGCGGAAGAGCGGGUUCGAAUCCCGUCGACUCACC